AUCCUUUGGUAGCUCAUGAGUGUGAUGAUCAGGUGCUCACACACGUGUGAGAUGUGCCCCCCUUGGACCACAUUUUGAAGUCAGCACAUUAUCUGUCUGACA
This is a small nucleolar RNA of Callithrix jacchus (white-tufted-ear marmoset), 102 nucleotides long. The record is from Ensembl. Lineage: Eukaryota; Metazoa; Chordata; Mammalia; Primates; Cebidae.